AUCUAAUAAUGCAAUGGUGAUGUAAACAGAGAUGUAACUUAUCUAAGAUAAAAGUAUCUGAAAUACAGAUACAAGAUACAAAAUACGUAUUUUCAUCUUGUAACUAAAUACCUUUUUUAAAAAUUCAUUUUGUAUCUUGUAUUUAAAUACCUUUUG
Long non-coding RNA from Melitaea cinxia (Glanville fritillary), 156 nucleotides. RefSeq lists it as uncharacterized. Lineage: Eukaryota; Metazoa; Arthropoda; Insecta; Lepidoptera; Nymphalidae. The transcript is spliced from 3 exons. The record is from RefSeq and is a predicted model, not a curated record.